CUGGACAUCACCGAGCCUUCCCUCUCUCAAGGCCGGCCUGACCUCAGGCUUACCGCCGGUGACCAGGCCUGAAAGUUAGUGGCCAGAGUGAUCAGGGAAGAUGGUGUUCCUCUAGAACCUCAUUUUUCUAGCAACAAAUGUUUACUGUAUUUGAAGAAUUCCAUUCCUUAGCAGAAGAGGCAAACUAGGACUGGAGCAGAGGCAAAGGCAAAGAUUGGAGGUUUCAGUCUGCAGCAAAGUCACAACCUGUUUGUGAAUACACUAACACCUUCGGGGCAAAAUAUCAAAUAAACUCUCUUGAACGAUGAAAGCUU
Molecule: non-coding RNA, 314 nt
Organism: Phascolarctos cinereus (koala)
Lineage: Eukaryota; Metazoa; Chordata; Mammalia; Diprotodontia; Phascolarctidae
Source: RefSeq, a predicted model, not a curated record